UACUCUUUAUAUCAUAAAAACUCUACACACAUAAUUUGAUGGCAUGGAUGUGAAUGCUCUAAACCCUAGCCUCCUCUCCUUCAAAUUACUAAUGUGAAUUCUGGUCACCAUACUUCAAAUAAAGAGUAAGAAGAAGUUAGGGCUUACUUGAGAUGAAGAAAUACGAACGAUGUAGAUGACGUUAUCGGAAGAAGCGAAAAAGAACCGAUUAUGUUCGAUGUUGAAAGCGGUGCAACGAAUCUGUUCGAUGUCGAAAGCGGUGCAAUGUCGUAAGCAUCGGAGAAGUGGAUUUUGAAGCUGAUUGUAUGAAGGAUGAUGGAAACCCUAGGGCAACUUCUAUACAUCGACUGUAGAAGAAUGUGAGAUUAACUUUCCUAAUCUCACUGAAGUAGAUUAGGUUUUAAUGAUUAUUGAUGUGAAAUAGUUGGUUUUUAUCUUUUUAGAUUAAUUUUCUUGGUUUGUAACUUGUGUUUUUUAAUAUUGCGCCUAACAAUAGUCGGGUUUUGCUUAUAAAAGCUCUUGCCUAGUUCAAGGCUCACUCUUUGUACCAUGUUUGCUGAUCUUUUGGACUGGAAUUUUACAAGAUUGUAAAGUUGGAGGUCCUUUUGUAUGUUGUUGUAGACGAGAAUGGGCAGCUUCCAAAAGUUUCCUUUAGGCCACGAGUGCUAGUAACAUGGUCAAUGGGAUUCUUAGGAAGAUCAAGGUGAAAGAAACCACUGGGAUUUCUGCAUGGAUAGUAACGACAAGUAUGGUUGUACCAUGCAUAGUUGACAAUCCCUUUUCUGUUCUUUCUUUUGUUGUGAUUUAUAUUUAGUUUUUCAAUGGGUUGCAUUUGGAAUCGGAUCGAUUAAUGACAUGAUCUAUCCUGACUUAUUGCCUGACUUCCUACUUAUAUCAAAUGUACCAUAUAUGCAGGAUGUUAAAAUGCUGAUUGAAGACAUAGGGGAGCUGAAACCUACUAUUUUCUGUGUUAUUCCUCGAGUUCUGGAAAGAAUUUAUUCAGGGAUUUUUCUGUUAGUCACAAGGUUCUUUUGUAUGAUACUCAUGUUAUUGUUAGUAACCGUUUCCAUUCUUUGUUAGGUUUACAACAGGAAAUUUCUGCUGGCGGUUUUAUCAAACGCAACUUAUUUAAUCUGGCUUGUUCAUACAAGUUACGUAAUAUGAACGCAGGGAUAGAACAUUCAAAGGCAUCUCCUCUUAGUGAUAAAAUUGUCUUUAGCCAGGUUAUAGAUAAUCAACUGGAUGUAAGUGAUUUUGAUGAAUUUUGUAGUGAUUUGGAUUGUUUGAUCAUGUUUUUAGGGUUUGAUCCGAUUCGAUUUCGAGUUGUAAGCAUGCUGUUUGAUUCGAUUUCGAGUUUCAAUUUGGUACUUUUGAUGAAUUUGAAGGCAUAGAGUUUGUUUA
This is a long non-coding RNA of Helianthus annuus (common sunflower), 1401 nucleotides long. RefSeq lists it as uncharacterized. The transcript is spliced from 3 exons. The record is from RefSeq and is a predicted model, not a curated record. NCBI's taxonomy places the organism in Eukaryota, Viridiplantae, Streptophyta, Magnoliopsida, Asterales, Asteraceae.